This 3188-nucleotide long non-coding RNA is filed under the name Solanum tuberosum (potato). Its description in RNAcentral is "long non-coding RNA (STUB_LNC004596)". The record is from RNAcentral. Lineage: Eukaryota; Viridiplantae; Streptophyta; Magnoliopsida; Solanales; Solanaceae.
UUUUGUUCUGUGCUGAAGUUCCAUUUCAACGAGCUAUAACUAGGGUAACGAGCUAUUCUAGAACCUCACACAACCCCAACUUUACUAUUAAGUGUUUUCCUCUUCUCCAUAGUAUUAGCUCUGCAAAUCAACAUUUCCCUUAAAUUCAAUCAAUCUCACUUUUCCUUCUUCUUUAGGUACUUUUCUUCGUAUGAAUAUUAAUUAAGAAAUCUAGAAUUUUUUGCAUCAACAAUCUAUUAGAUCUCGUAGUUUUCUAUUUUUUUUAAAGGCUUUAGGUUUCAUAUCCCUGUGCUUUAAUUUGUGUUUGUAAUUGUUUUCUACUUUAUACGAAAUUUGAGAUCUAUGUAUUUGGAUGAAAAUAAGGUGUUUAUAUUUGGGUUAGGGCUUGGAUUUGAAGAUAUAUGGGCUUCAUUAUUGCGUCGAAGCUCUUAAUGAAGAAGUUUAAGGAUCUGUAGGAUUUUCUCACAUCACGCAAUGCUGGUAUGUUGGCUUCAUAUCCUAUUUUGUUUGUCACUUCUCAUUAUUUUAUGGUUCUUGAGCUUAUGUGCUAGUUUUGUUACCUUAAAGAUCAAAAAUUAGAUCCCCUUAUCGAACUGUUGAUGUUUCUGUGGCUUUGUGAGGCUACUGCUGCUAAGUGUAGAGAUUGUAGCAGAAGAACAAGUCUGAUUAAGUAGUUUUAAUCUGUUUCAAUACUAGUUGAGUUACAUGAUUUAAAUGUUUGUUUCUAUAACAUUAUCACAGUGUUUCAUAUUCUCUUGUUGUCGAAGUGUGAUAAAAGGAAAGCCCCAAUUUUUGAAUUCCUAAUGUCGUACUUGUCAAUCUAUGAAUUUUGUUUCUUCAAAAAAAAAAGGGAAAUGCUUUUGAUUUUUUGAAUUUAUUUUGAUUAAUGUUAACUCGCCUAAAAUAGAAUAUUGUGUGUCGAGUCUUAUUUUUCACUAUAAAUACGAUACCUCUUAUCAUAUAAAGGGACAAACUUUGAAGUUCGAUAAUCUUUCAUUCACAUUGCUUUAGAAAUGCUUCUUUACAAUUUUGAUUCCUUUCUUUUGUCGGCUACAAGCCUAGAUUAUUUACUGUGAAACUGCUUCUAUUUUAGUUGUUAGUGCUAUGCCGAAGUAUUUUAAAUUCAAAGGUGAUAGUUCUUUGUAGAUUUAAGUUUCUAUCUAAGUCUCUAUAUGUUAGUAAACCUGAUAGUUCUUUGCAGCUUAAGUUACUGCCUUAGUCUAUAUAUGUUCGAAUGGCUUAAGCAUUUUCUGAAAUGCAUUCAGGUAUUUUCUAUACUUCAUGUGUGCCUAGUCUUUUGUGUAAUGGAUGUAAUAUGAGUCUCUGUUAGGCUGAUAUGGAUACUAAUCUUGUUGAGGGUCUAUUGGAAAUAUCCUCUCUACCAUUGAAGUUGGGGCAAGGUUGGCAUACACUCAUUUUAGCAGUUUGUCGAGUUCUAUUCUGCCCGAAUUCCUUAGAAGAUGAAUGCAUAUUGAAUUACUUGUCGAGCUUCAAUAUUUGCCUCUUUAUAGCUUUAUGCUUUGCUUGAAGAUGGAUGUGCAUCAUAACUGUUUGAAGCUUGGUACUAGUUAGUUUUCACCUAUGUGAGGAAGAUUUUGUCAAUUAAAGGUUCAACGAUCAAAGCUCUGCAAUGGUUUUACAAAUUUAAUAAACGGAUAGAUGUGAGGAAGUUUAUAAUGCAGUGAAGGACUUUCUAGACUGUUAAUUUUUCUUAUGUUAGAUUAUCUUAUCAGAAAUUUAGACAAAUGAUUUUGCUAGAGGUUUCCGUAGGAAAACUUUCAAGUUCCUAGAUGAUGUUUCCGUAUAAUUUUUUCUCCAACUAACUUUUUUCACAAGAACAGUAUUAGUUAUGCCUUAAUGUCAAACUAGUUAGAUUGGAGUAUGAAAUUUCAAUUUCCAUUCUGUUGUAUGCAUGUAGCUAGGUCCCUUUUUAAAAUAAUUUUACCACCAGAACACUGGAAUUAGGUACUAGGUUAACUGUUAAUAAAAAAUUCAUUAAAGGUUCAGGAUUAAGACAAUACGAAUCCAAGUUAACUAUGUCAGCUUUAGAAAUUUGUAAGACAUAUCUAAAUUGUGAAAUAAAGGUCAAGGGUCAAAUACUUGGUACUGCAGAUGACCUGUUUGUGCAACUACUCAAUGACAAUACUACUAAAAAGUAAAUUUACCUUAUUAAAAAAAGUUACUAGUAGAAAGGAACAUGGUUGUUGUUUUUUAUUGCAUUUAAGUAUGUAUUUACAUUUUACGUAGCUAUGACAUGGCAACAUCUUAUACCAAACAAUGUAGCUUCAACAUGAACUCCAAAGUCCAUGCACUUCUACUAAAGAAGUGGCCAAGCUCAUUUUCCAGAUCUACUCUACUUUUGGAAUAAAUAGAUGUGUUAACAUUUCCUCUAGGGAUUUACUCAUUAUCAAAAGAAAUAUUGAUAUAAUUGGGAAUUCCUUUGUCUUGUGUAUUAUUAACAAAGUUAUGAUGAAACCUAUAAAAAAAAUAUGCAUGAACUCCUUUGUCAAAAUAAUGUGGUUCAUGAUGUGAUUCUCUAUCAAAAAUAACCUCUUUACUUUUCAAGUAGGAGUAUGGACUGCAUAAACACAAUCCUCCCCAAACCUCACUUGUGGUAUUAAUAACAUUGGGUAUGUUGUUUGUUAAUGAAUUGAGUUUUAUUUAAGUUCUCAUGUUUGGGUAUUGGACUUUAGUUAUUUAGUUGCUCCACUUUGAUCCUCCUGCUAAAUACAUUUGUUAAUUUUUAUGAAUUGAGCUUAGUAUGGUAGGAUAAAACUAUGUUGUGCACAUUUCAUCGGCCUUAGUCAUGUCCCUUUGCUUUCUUAAAUGUUUUGCAAUCUUCUAUUUCAAGGUUACCUCUUUUAUUUUAGUAUUUAUUAUAAGAAUUGUCAAAGUAAAUCCUAUUCGUUUACUCGUAAUUACAGGAACAAGAUUGUAGAACACAAAUAGUAUUGAAGAAGGAUAAGUUUGAAGACCUUCACUGUUUUUUUAUUACAUAUGUACAAUGACAUUGAAUAAUAUACUAUUGUGUAGUACAUUUAAUUGACAUUUUUUUUUAUCAUGAAAGUAUUCGAAUUAUUCAACUUGAGAAUUAUUUGUGUUUAUUAAAUAUAUAUUGGAUGCUUUUAAAUAUUUGUAAGCAAUUUAUUGAAAUGAACAUGUAUAUUAAUAUCAGAAUUUAGGUGGCC